This 245-nucleotide ribosomal RNA is filed under the name uncultured bacterium. RNAcentral describes it as "partial 16S ribosomal RNA". It matches the Rfam family "Bacterial small subunit ribosomal RNA", at positions 524 to 768 of the family's 1533-position model. The record is from RNAcentral.
UACGGGGGGGGCAAGCGUUGUUCGGAAUUACUGGGCGUAAAGGGCGCGUAGGCGGCCGGAUAAGUAGGCGGUGAAAGCCCCGGGCUUAACUUGGGGAGUGCCGUCUAAACUGUCUGGCUGGAGUGCGGGAGAGGGAAGUGGAAUUCCUGGUGUAGCGGUGAAAUGCGUAGAUAUCAGGAGGAACACCGGUGGCGAAGGCGGCUUCCUGGACCGCAACUGACGCUGAGGCGCGAAAGCUAGGGGAG